AAGGGCAACCGGCGAACGGGUGCGUAACACGUGAGCAAUCUGCCGAUUUCUGGGGGAUAGCCGGCCCAACGGCCGGGUAAUACCGCAUACGCUCAUCGAGGGGAGUCCCUUGGUGAGGAAACCUCCGGGGGAAAUCGAGGAGCUCGCGACCUAUCAGCUAGUUGGCGGGGUAACGGCCCACCAAGGCGGUGACGGGUAGCUGGUCUGAGAGGAUGGCCAGCCACAUUGGGACUGAGAAACGGCCCAGACUCCUACGGGAGGCAGCAGUGGGGAAUCUUGCGCAAUGGCCGAAAGGCUGACGCAGCGACGCCGCGUGUGGGAGGAAGCCCUUCGGGGUGUAAACCACUGUUGCCCGGGGCGAAACUCCUCUUUCGAGAGGACUGACGGUACCGGGUGAGGAAGCACCGGCUAACUCCGUGCCAGCAGCCGCGGUAAUACGGAGGGUGCGAGCGUUGUCCGGAAUCACUGGGCGUAAAGGGCGCGUAGGCGGCGCGAGCAGUCAACGGUGAAAGCCCGGAGCUCAACUCCGGGUCGGCCGUCGAUACUCUCGCGCUAGAGCACUGUAGAGGCAGGUGGAAUUCCGGGUGUAGCGGUGGAAUGCGUAGAGAUCCGGAAGAACACCGGUGGCGAAGGCGGCCUGCUGGGCAGUAGCUGACGCUGAUGCGCGACAGCGUGGGGAGCAAACAGGAUUAGAUACCCUGGUAGUCCACGCCGUA
RNAcentral lists this ribosomal RNA (716 nucleotides) under uncultured Gemmatimonadota bacterium. Its description in RNAcentral is "bacterial SSU rRNA". It matches the Rfam family "Bacterial small subunit ribosomal RNA", at positions 87 to 804 of the family's 1533-position model. The record is from RNAcentral. Lineage: Bacteria; Pseudomonadati; Gemmatimonadota.